Molecule: long non-coding RNA, 6817 nt
Organism: Mytilus californianus (California mussel)
Lineage: Eukaryota; Metazoa; Mollusca; Bivalvia; Mytilida; Mytilidae
Exons: 2
Source: RefSeq, a predicted model, not a curated record
UUUUUCCUUUUUUUUCUUUUUUCCUUUUUUUUUCUUUUAAAAUUUUCCAUUUUAAGUUGGUUAUUUCUGAUUUAUAUUUAAAAGCAAAUAAUAAUGAUAUGGUAGGAGAUACACACCAAACAGGAUGUGUAAAUUAUUAUAUAAUAAGUAUUGUGCAAUAGCAAGAAAUUUUCAAUUGCACAGUAUUGCACAAUAGCAAGAAAUCUUCAAUUGCACAGUAUUGCGCAAUAGCAAGAAAUCUUCAAUUGCACAGUAUUGCGCAAUAGCAAGAAAUAUCCAAUAGCACAAUAUUGCGCAAUAGCAAGAAAUUGUCAAUUGUACAGUAUUGCGCAAUAGCAAGAAAUAUUUAAUUGCACAAUAUUGUGCAAAAGAAGAUAAUUCGUAUAAAUUGCUUAUUUCUUCACCAAUUUCAAUGGGGUUUUAUUCUUGAAUUCUUGGGGUUCUUUAAUAUGCUAAAUCUAACCGUGUAUUUAGUUUUUGGAUUUUGGGCCCCGUUUUUAAAUUGGUCCACAUUGAGGUCCAAAGGGUCCAAAAUUAAACUUUGUUUGAUUUCAUCAAAAAUUGAAUUAUUGGGGUUCUUUGAUAUGCCGGAUCUAACCGUGUAUUUAGAUUCUUAAUUUUUGGUUCCGUUUUCAAAUUGGUCUACAUUAAGGUCAAAAGGGUCCAAAAUUAAACUUUGUUUGAUUUCAUCAAAAAUUGAAUUCUUGGGGUUCUUUGAUAUGCUGAAUCUAACCAUGUAUUUAGAUUUUGGAUAUUGGACCAUAAUAGGUGAAUGUCCAAUUUAAAAUUUUUAAGUUCUUAGACCACAUUCAUUCUGUGUCAGAAACCUAUGCUGUGUCAAAUAUUUAAUCACAAUCCAAAUGCAAAGCUGUAUCAAGCUUGAAUGUUGUGUCCAUACUUGCCCCAACUGUUCAGGGUUAGACCUCUGCGGUCGUAUCAAGCUGCGCCCUGCGGAGCAUUUUAUUUCAUCUACAGUUACUUUGAUUAGGACAUCUUGGAACAUUUUCAUGAAUAUAAUGACUAGUAACUUUUUUUAAUAAGAAAAACAUAAGAUCCUUUUUUCACACGACUAAAACCAGUUUCAUAGACCUUUGUUUUAAGUAGCAUUCAGAACAGUCUGAUCUUUCUGUCUAGGCAUUUCUUCUGCCUUAUCAAUUUUGUUCAUUUACAUGACUAAAACUUGAAUAAUAGAUAGGUGACCUUGUCUUUCUCUGAUUUGAUAAUGUCCAUUUUUCUACAGGUGAUUCUUAGAUGCAUAGUCGGACUUCGUUUAAAAUAUUAUGAAUAUCCCUAUGGUGUAUAAUUCAUCUUGGGAUGAAAAAAACCUAAGUGAAUUUGAGGUAACUCUGUCAAAGGUCAAUACCUCAAGCAUUUUAUAGACUGAAAUUUUAGCAAUUGAAAUAUUGGUUUUCAGAUAAUUUUAAUUGAACCAUACAACCAAUCAAUAAUAUCAAAGUCAGUUUGACAUCGUAACUUGGGGAAUUGAAAAAAAUGAUAAACGUUUGUUUUCUAUUGAAAAAGCUGCUUUUUCUAAUCCGUGGCUUUUACAGAUGAUCUUUUAAUUAUAAUAAUGAUAACAUCAACAUUGUUUUAUUCAUUUUCUUCUCUGAUGUUGAUUUGUUGACAAUGGGCAAUAUCCCAAAACACUCUUUGGUGCUACAUGAAUUUUCGUUUUGAGUAGCACACAAAUAGUAAAAGGUGGAAUUAUUAGAAAAAAUUACAUCAUGUCAUGCAUGAACACUUGAAGAUUCAGCACAUACUGUUGCUAACCAUCCCCCUAUCAUUUUUUUCACAUGCAGUUGUUGUAUCUACCAUUCAGAAGCACAUUAAAUUUUGAAAUAUCAAAACCUUAACUCCAGCUGGUGUUGUAUUAUUUUAUAGAAUGGACAGUGUAUGUUAAUUUAAGAUAAAAAAAAAAACUUGCCAUAAAUCAGUGAAAAAAAAACAUUUCCUAGGAAAAACAGUGCUUCAAUUGCAAGAUAUAGUAGUAAAUCACACAAAACAUUACAGAAACUACAGUUAAUUAACAAAUGCAAUUAAUGCAGUACAAUAAAUCAAAUAGCAGAUAUGAUAAUGCUUAUUAAGAAAUUAAAACACAUGUUGACAAUUAAAUGAUAAAACAAUUGAUCAUUUCAAAUGUAAUGGAACAUAAUGAUUAUAAAGUCUUCAGUAUUUAUAUUUACCUCAGCAUUUGGUCUUGGUAAAUAUAACAUUUUGGCUUAAUUAUUUUUCCACUGAUGUCCAUGUCAUUAAUUGUGAAGUGAAAUGGUUAAUAUUUUUUUUAAAACUUCCUGUGGCAUUACACUUACAAUGAUGACAAAGUUCUAGUCUUCAUAUCAUUUGAUCUCUGGUAUACUCUGAUUCUUAUCAUCGAACACAUAUAUGCAUACUUACUUAUAUAUAAAGAAAUGCUUAGUUCAGUCACUAUCAAAGUUUUCAGCAUAAAUUAAUUCUGUAUCAUAUUGUUAAUUCUAUAUAUGAAGCCAUCUACAGAAUUAAUGAUGUCACAAAAAAAGUUGGUGAAGGGUAACUUUCAGGCUUUAGUGUUCCAAAGUGUUUUGAAGCUCUAAUUUCAUGCUUUUCAUUCUAGAAGGCUUUGAUUCAAUGUGUAUUAUGUCCUGGAUGUUUAAAAAUGCAGUUUUAAAUGCAUCAAAAAUAGUUUUUUUCUGAUGCCUGCAUCUUAAAUACGUAUUGUGACAUUUGACUGUAGAUAUCCGUUAUUAGUUUAGGAUUGUUCCAGAAUAAAAUGCAUGGGGCAUGGGAAGAUUUUUAUAGACCUGAUCAUCAGUAAAAUAAAAAAAUAAUUUUUCCUUCAAUUCUUACAAAAUUCAAAGUAAAAUGUAACCACCCACAUAUUUGAUUAAUUUGAGUGCCUCAUCCCGACCCCCCUACAGACUGAUAAACUUUGGAACAACCCUAAUAUCAAAGUAGGACAAAUUUAAUUAUAUUCUGUUUAAGACUUUAUUUGUGUUUUUUUUUAAUCAAAUACAAAUACAGAUGGUUCACACUGCCAUUACUUGUAAUUUAAAGUUUUUCAUCUGUUUGAUAUUUCAAUACUAUAAAGAAUUCUUUCAUAGAUUUUGAUACAACUAUCCAUGGCACUACAUAUACAUAAAGGUUUGGAUUCUAGUAUGAUAUAUUUGAUGUGGCACUAAUGGUUUAUAAGAUACAAUGAAUUCAAAUGUAGCCAACAUCCAUUAUUUUUUUUUUAAGUCUGAUUUGUAGAGUUGAGCCUCUUUUUCUUUGAAGUCUUUAUGAAAUCUCCAGCUUUUAAUAUUCUCUCAUAAAAUUGAAUAUAGUCUUAUAUAUAAAGGGUGAUUGAGUUAAAUUUUGUUUUAAUUUGAAUUUGUAACUUUACAUCUGAUUUUGAAUGCAACUAUUUUGUAUUUUGGUUCAUCUUGUGCAAAGUAACUAUGGAUUAUGCUAAAUGAAGAUGAGAUGGAUGAAAUGAACCCAAAGAUCAUUUGUUAUGUUGUAUUUAUUUGAAUUCCUCGAAUUUAUUACCCCCUAUUGGGAAACUAAACUGCCUAAGUAUGUAAAAAAACUGUACACUUUAUAGUAUGGGUAUUAAUCUCAUAGUCAUAUCCCCUACUUCCUUUUUGUAACCACACACUCAGUAGUUCAGUCUUAAAGUAAUCUGAUUGAAAUACAGAUCCUGAGUACAAGAUUUGCUGACAAGGUUCUGAAAACCCUCCAUUCUUUCUAUUUAAAAGACCAUCCAUGAUCCUAUAGUUUUGUUGAAUUAAUACACACCUUCAAAAAUUUGAAGGUUGAAAUUCCUUUGGCUAAUGUAUUAAAUACCAGAACAGAAAGUAAAACGGAGUGUUGACAGAUCCUUGUAUGCAAAGCGUGGACAUAUGAUCUGUAUUUUAAUCAGAUUGGCCUCAAAAAGACAUAGUUUUUUUGCUUGUGAGAGAACUGUCAACAUUUCCAUUAUAUGUUAUUUGGUCUUGUGUGGAGAGUUGGUCUCAUUGGCAAUCAUACCACAUCUUCUUAUUUUUAUAUACAAUGAUUCAUUAUGAAAUUGUAUUACUAACAUUUUUGUUCAUUUCUUAUAACAUUUUCAUCUAUCUUUUUUGUAUAGAACCUAAUAAAUAAUUAGCCAUUAGAACAAUAUUUAGUGAUGAUGUGGAUGUUUCUUAAAGUUACAAAAUGUUAACCAGUAUUUAUUUAAAAGAUAUUGAUCAUGUUCAUAAACAGUGCAUUUGAAUUUCAUUAAGGUCAUUGUCAUUUCAAAUGUGAAAAAAAUAAAUAAUAACAAAUAUAUUUUGAGUUGUUUCAUUGUACUUAGAACAAUGCAAGAAGACAUUUUGGAAUGUUAAAUGAACAUACAUUAAUUUAACUAAGUUUUUGUAUAGAUGUGAAAAACAUUUCUUUCUUUCUAUUUCGUACAAUUUAUUGAAUCUUGAUUGCAGGUUUUAUACAAAUUUCCAGUGGAUGGAUUAACUAAAUGGCUUUUUUGGGGAAAAGAACACUUUCAAAUCUUCUUAAGACAUACACAAGUACCAUCAGCCAAAAUUAUCGAAAUUUUUAAGUUUCAAUAGUGAAACUGUAACAUUUUUGAGCUUUAUUACUUCAAUAUUCCAAGCCUCAUCUUGACGCUUUUAAAUUUAUUUGUAGCUAGGAAAAGCAGUGCUUCAAUUGCAAGAAAUAAUAGCAAAUCACACAUAACAUUGCAGAAACUACAGUAAACUAACAAAUGUAAUUAAUGCAGUAUAAUAAAUCAAAUAGCAGCGUCAUGAUGAUUCUUAUUAAGAAAUUAAAACACAUGUUGACAAUUUAAUGAUGAAACAAUUGAUCAUUUCAAAUUUUAUGGAACAUAAUAAUUAUAAACACUCGGUAUUCAUAUUUACCUCAGCCUUUGGUCUUGGUAAACAUAACAUUUUGGCUGAAUUAUUUUUCCACUGAUUUCUAUGUCAUUAAUUGUAUAGUGACAUGGUUAAUAUUUUUCUAAAACUUCCUGUGGCAUUACACUUACACUGAAGACACAAUUCUAGUCUUCAUAUCAUUUGAUCUCUGGUAUACUCUUGAUUCUUAUCAUUGAGCACAUAUAUGCAUACUCACUUAUUGUAAAUAUGCUUAUAACGAAAUGCUUAGUUCAAUCACUAUCAAAGAUUUUAACAUAAAUUAAUUCUCUGUAUCAUAUUGAUAAUUAUAUAUAUAAAGCCAUCUACAGAAUUAACGAUAUCACAAAAAAGUUGGUGAAGGGUAACUCUUAGGCUUAAGUGUUCCAAAGUGUUUUGAUGCUCUUAUUUCAUGCUUUUCAUUCCAGAAGGCUUUAUCACAAUGUGUAUUAUGUCCUGGAUAUUCAAAAAUGCAUCAUAAGUAGUUUAUUCUGAUGCCUGCAUCUCAAAUAUGUUUUAUGACAUUUGACUGUAGAUAUCCAUUAUUAGUUAAGGACUGUUCUAGAAUAAAAUGCAUGGGGCAUGGGAAGAUUUUUGAAGACCUGAUCAUCCAAAGAAUAAAAAUUUAAUUUUGACAACAAUACUUACAAAAUUCGUAGGAAAAUGUAACCAUCUGCAUAUUUGAUUAAUUUGAGUGCUUCGUCCCCAUCCCCAACAGACUGAUAAACUUUGGAACAACCCUAAUAUUAAAGUAGGACAAAUAUAAUUAUAUUCUGGUUAAGACCUUAUUUGUGUUGUUUUUAUCAAAUACCAAUACAGAUAGUUCACACUGCCAUUACUUGUAAUUUAAAGUUUUUCAUCUGUUUGACAUUUCAAUACUACAAAGAAUUCCUUUAUAUAUUUUGAUACAACUAUCAAUAGCACUACAUAAAAGGUUGGAUUCUAGUAUGAUAUGUUUGAUAUGUUUGAUGUGGCAUUAACGGUUUAUAAGAUAUAAUGAAUUCAAAUGUCGCCAACAUCCAAUAUUUCUCGUAUUUUUUUUUAAAGUCUGAUUUGUUGUGUUGAGCCUCUUUUUCAUUGAAGUCUUUAUGAAAUCUCCAGCUUUUGAUAUUCUCUAAUAAAAUUGAAUAUAGUCUAAUAUAUAAAGGGUGAUUGAUUUAAAUUUUUUUUUCAAUUUGAGUUUGUAACUUUACAUCUGAUUUUAAAUGCAACUAUUUUGUAUUUUGGUUCAUCUUGUGCAAAGUAAUUAUGGAUUAUAAUAAUUAAAUGAAGAUGAGAUGGAUAAAAUGAACUCAAAGAUCAUUUGUUAUCUUGUAUUGAUUUGAAUUCAUUGAAACUUAACUGCCUACAUAUUAAAAAAGCAGUACACAUUAUAGUAUGGGUAUUAAUCUCAUAGUCAUAUCCCCUACUUCCUUUUUGUAACCACACAAUCAGUAGUUCAGCCUUAAAAUAUUCUGAUUAUAAUACAGAUCUUGUGCCCUAAUUUUGCUCACAAGGAUCUGAAAACGCUCCAUACUUUCUGUUCAAAGACAUUACAGGAUCCUAUAGUUUUGUCAGAUUAAAACACACCUUCAAAAAUUAAAGGCUGAAAUUUCAUUGGCCGAUGUAAUAAAUACCAAAAUAGAAAGUAAAAUGGAGUGUUGUCAGAUUCUUGUGAGCAAAGCUUGGACACAUGAUCCGUAUCUUAAUCAGAUUGGCCUUAAAAAGACAUACAAUGAUUCACUAUAGAUUUGUAUUACUAACAUUUCUGUUUAUUCCUUAUAAUAUUUUCAUUUCUCUUUUUUGUAUAGAACCUAAUAAAUAAUUAGCCAUUAGAACAAUAUUUAUUGAUGAUGUGAAUGUUUCUUAAAGUUACAAAAUGUAUACCAGUAUUUAUUUGAUAGAUAUUGAUCAUGUUCAUAUACAAUGUACUUGAAUUUCAUUAAGGUCAUUGUCAUUUCAAAUGUGAAAAAAAUAAAUAAUAACAAAACAUA